Molecule: long non-coding RNA, 1376 nt
Filed under: Musa acuminata (dwarf banana)
Lineage: Eukaryota; Viridiplantae; Streptophyta; Magnoliopsida; Zingiberales; Musaceae
Description: long non-coding RNA (MACU_LNC004090)
Source: RNAcentral
CUACAUAUUGAAUAGCCCAAAUGAGAACAACUUAGACAUAAAUGAAACAGAAAAAGACUUAAGAAAAAGUAGCAACAAAGAACAAAAGUUCAAACAUUUGGUACAUUAUCUACACCAUUAAUGUAUGGUGUUUGCAUCAGUUGCUUUCAAAAAAUCAACCGUUAUUAUAACUUUAAAAAUGUUUCAAUGAUUUUGCAUAAAUAGCAUGAAGUCAAAUUUCAAGUACAGGAGCUGCACAAUUAUCUCAAGGUAUUAGUAGAACAACCAGAUGUUAGAAAACUGAAGCUUAAUAAUAAAUAUCCAAAAGACAUUAUGAAAAUUUUCUGGUCAUGUAUAGGAUAAACCAUAAUUUAUUGACUUGGUAAUCAACUGAGAGUAAGUUGUCUUCUUCUCUUGUCUCUCUAAGGCCCACUUGAUUGCCAUGUCCUCGCCUAGUAAUUACCUUUGUGGUUUUCCUUCCUGUGUGCAACAAUCCUACAUCAAUCAUGGAAUAAUCAUCUAGAAUUUUGUUCUGCUUGUUCUUUAUUGCUAUGUUCAGAGACUCUCCACUUAAAGGACUUCACAAUCAAUACAAGAGAAGAAUCAGAUGUACACCAAGCGUUGUGUUCUAAAACAAUAGAAGAAAACCAGUUUGGCUACUAGUAGAAGAUGCAGGAAGAUAAAAGUGGGCUCAUUCAGAAGAACUCUAUUCAAAUAUUAAAUAUUUUGCUUUUCUGAAAUAAAAAAACAUGUUUACGAUGAUAAUCUUGAUAGCGACUUGUAAGACAGCACAAGAAAGACAGCCAUAAAAACUUAACAAAUAUAUAGAAACCUGGUCCUCUCCAAUUGACAUAACAUAGAUGGAUGGCAUAACCAUUUACUGCAAAAAUGCAUAUGAUCAAAUAGCAGAGAGAAAAAUUCCCAUAAUAGUUACCUAUUUGAAGAACACAACUGCAAUGCUAGAAGUUCAAAAAACACCGACCUCAAUUAAUUUCAAUUGCAUUACACUGGUUUCGAAUUAUACAUUAAACUACCAAUUAAAACAUGUUUUUUUCUGAAAUAAGAAAACAUGUUUACGAUGAUAAUCUUGAUAACAACUUGUAAGACAGCACAAGAAAGACAGCCAUAAAAACUUUAUAACAAAUAUAUAGAAACCUGGCCCUCUCCAAUUGGCAUAAACAUAGAUGGAUGGCAUAGCCAUUUACUGCAAAAAUGCAUAUGAUCAUAUAGCAGAGAGAAAAAUGCCCAUAAUAGUUACCUAUUUGAAGAACACAACUGCAAUGCUAGAAGUUUAAAAAACACCGUCCUCAAUUAAUUUCAAUUGCAUUACACUGGUUUCGAAUUAUACAUUAAACUACCAAUUAGCAGCAAGAAUUGAAGCAAAUGAGACAAAGUGG